GGCGAACGCUAGCGGCGUGCCUAAGAAAUGCAAGUCGAACGAGGCUCCUCCUUUUCUUCGGAUUUGGAGGAUGUCCUAGUGGCGAACGGUCGAGUAACACGUGAGCAACCUGCCCCGCAGACGGGGAUAACCUCGGGAAACUGAGGCUAAUACCCGAUGUUGUCGUUCUGGGGCAUCCCAGGGCGACCAAACGGAGCAAUCCGCUGUGGGAUGGGCUCGCGGCCUAUUAGGUUGUUGGUGGGGUCACGGCUCACCAAGCCGACGAUGGGUAGCUGGCUUGAGAGGGUGGUCAGCCGGAUUGGGACUGCGACACGGCCCAGACUCCUACGGGAGGCAGCAAUUAGGAAUCUUGCGCAAUGGGGGAAACCCUGACGCAGCGACGCCGCGUGGCUGAUGAAGCCUUUCGGGGUGUAAAGGCCUUUUCUGGGGGAAGAGAAAGGACGGUACUCCAGGAAUAAGCGUCGGCUAACUACGUG
This 476-nucleotide ribosomal RNA is filed under the name uncultured bacterium. Its description in RNAcentral is "bacterial SSU rRNA". It matches the Rfam family "Bacterial small subunit ribosomal RNA", at positions 28 to 507 of the family's 1533-position model. The record is from RNAcentral.